CCUACGGGAGGCUGCAGUAGGGAAUAUUGCUCAAUGGGGGAAACCCUGAAGCAGCAACGCCGCGUGGAGGAUGAAGGUUUUCGGAUUGUAAACUCCUUUUGUUAGAGAAGAUAAUGACGGUAUCUAACGAAUAAGCACCGUCUAACUCCGUGCCAGCAGCCGCGGUAAUACGGAGGGUGCAAGCGUUACUCGGAAUCACUGGGCGUAAAGAGCGCGUAGGCGGGAUAGCAAGUCAGAUGUGAAAUCCUAUGGCUUAACCAUAGAACUGCAUUUGAAACUGUUAUUCUAGAGUAUGUGAGAGGUAGGUGGAAUUCUUGGUGUAGCGGUAAAAUCCGUAGAGAUCAAGAGGAAUACUCAUUGCGAAGGCGACCUACUAGAACAUAACUGACGCUGAUGCGCGAAAGCGUGGGGAGCAAACAGGAUUAGAUACCCCUGUAGUC
This 440-nucleotide ribosomal RNA is filed under the name uncultured bacterium. Its description in RNAcentral is "partial 16S ribosomal RNA". It matches the Rfam family "Bacterial small subunit ribosomal RNA", at positions 338 to 795 of the family's 1533-position model. The record is from RNAcentral.